Molecule: ribosomal RNA, 490 nt
Filed under: uncultured bacterium
Lineage: Bacteria
Description: partial 16S ribosomal RNA
Rfam family: Bacterial small subunit ribosomal RNA
Source: RNAcentral
GAUGAACGCUAGCUACAGGCUUAACACAUGCAAGUCGCGGGGCAGCAUGGGGGUUGCUUGCAAUCCCCGAUGGCGACCGGCGCACGGGUGAGUAACGCGUAUCCAACCUGCCCUUCACCACGGGAUAACCCGGCGAAAGUCGGACUAAUACCGUAUGUUGUCCAUUGACGGCAUCCGAUUUGGACGAAGGGCUUGGCGGUGAGGGAUGGGGAUGCGUCCGAUUAGCCAGACGGCGGGGUAACGGCCCACCGUGGCUACGAUCGGUAGGGGUUCUGAGAGGAAGGUCCCCCACACUGGAACUGAGACACGGUCCAGACUCCUACGGGAGGCAGCAGUGAGGAAUAUUGGUCAAUGGGCGUAAGCCUGAACCAGCCAAGUAGCGUGCAGGAUGACGGCCCUAUGGGUUGUAAACUGCUUUUAUGCGGGGAUAAAGUGGCCCACGUGUGGGCUUUUGCAGGUACCGCAUGAAUAAGGACCGGCUAAUUCCGUG